AGAUCUGCAUUGUAAGAAAAAUGAGAAGAAUUCCUUCAGGAAGAAGAAAAAUGAUACCAGAUGGAUAUGUGGAUCCACAUAAAGGAACGAAGAGCACAGGAAAUAGUAACUAUACUGUCUUGCUCUGUCACCCAGGCUGGAGUGUGGUGGUGCGAUCUUGGCUCACUGCUAGACUGGUUGGAUCCAGGUUUCCUUCGUCAGUCCAGGCAGGACUGUGCGGUUGGAAAAGGGACGGAUGCUGGUCCUGGAAGGGGCGUCGUUAUCUAGAAGCUCCCAACCUAAGUGGGUGACUCAUAGGGAGGGCAAGGAGAGAAGGACACAGCAAGCAACUUACAUGUAAAACAAGACGUGUGGGUUAUUAUGGAAGAAAUUCACAACCAAACUUGGGGUUAGCCCGUAUUGUUUUCCAAGAACUCUAUGUGGACAGUGACAAAAAACAGACCUAAGAACUAGCAGACUGGGCAAAGCUUUUUCACAUAACAACAACAAAAAAAGCAAUUCCUCAGGAAAAAAUGGUCAAUGGGUCAUUGUGUGUAGACAAAACUACAAGUUCUGCUCCAGACUCUGGGGAAACCAUGCUGCCAUCUUCAAGCUGUGGCCAUUCUGUAAUACAGACUACGCUAAAUCACAUGUUGUCAUCAAGGCAGAAUAUUUUGUUCCUUUAUGGGUCAGCCUGGGAUACAAAAUUAGAGAAACUUUGCAAUGAAAAAUCCCUUGUGUCUCAUUGAACUUUUUCCUUAAUUCAAACCUUUCCUUUCACAGUUUUGAUUAGUGCCUUUGCCCAUGUGGACAAUAUUUUAUGAUCAGGUUUUAAGAGUAAUCCAUCCAUGGCUGCUUGGCUGCCUGGAACUUAAAACAACGACAACAACAAUGUCCAGAUAAACCCAAUAAAAUAGGUUUUUAAAUGUG
RNAcentral lists this long non-coding RNA (909 nucleotides) under Homo sapiens (human). RNAcentral's name for it is "HSALNT0388582". Lineage: Eukaryota; Metazoa; Chordata; Mammalia; Primates; Hominidae. The record is from RNAcentral.